GAGGGGUAAGGCUCUUUCGGGAGUACAUGACCGACGCACGGGUGAGUAACGCGUAUGCAACCUACUUCAACAGGGGGAUAGCCCAGAGAAAUUUGGAUUAAUAUCCCAUAACAUUAGGAAUUCGCAUGUUUUCCUGAUUAAAGCUCCGGCGGUUGAAGAUGGGCAUGCGUGCCAUUAGCUUGUUGGUAAGGUAACGGCUUACCAAGGCAACGAUGGCUAGGGGGUCUUAAAGGAUGGUCCCCCACACUGGUACUGAGACACGGACCAGACUCCUACGGGAGGCAGCAGUGAGGAAUAUUGGGCAAUGGACGCAAGUCUGACCCAGCCAUCCCGCGUGCAGGAUGACAGCCCUACGGGUUGUAAACUGCUUUUAUACAAGAAGAAAAAUCCCUACGUGUAGGGAACUGACGGUAUUGUAUGAAUAAGCAUCGGCUAACUCCGUGCCAGCAGCCGCGGUAAUACGGAGGAUGCAAGCGUUAUCCGGAUUUAUUAGGUUUAAAGGGUGCGCAGGCGGACCUUUAAGUCAGUGGUGAAAUCUUGCGGCUUAACCGUAAAAUUGCCAUUGAAACUGAAGGUCUUGAGUACAGUUGAGGUAGGCGGAAUGUGUCAUGUAGCGGUGAAAUGCAUAGAGAUGACACAGAACACCGAUUGCGAAGGCAGCUUGCUAAACUGUGACUGACGCUGAGGCACGAAAGCGUGGGGAGCGAACAGGAUUAGAUACCCUGGUAGUCCACGCCGUAAACGAUGAUCACUCGUUGUUGGCAAUACAUCGUCAGCGACUGAGCGAAAGCAUUAAGUGAUCCACCUGGGGAGUACGUCGGCAACGAUGAAACUCAAAGGAAUUGACGGGGGCCCGCACAAGCGGAGGAACAUGUGGUUUAAUUCGAUGAUACGCGAGGAACCUUACCUGGGCUUAAAUGCAGAUUGCCUUCUCGGGAAACCGAGUUUUUCUUCGGAACAAUCUACAAGGUGCUGCAUGGUUGUCGUCAGCUCGUGCCGUGAGGUGUCGGGUUAAGUCCCAUAACGAGCGCAACCCCUAUUGUUAGUUGCUAGCAGGUAAUGCUGAGGACUCUAACGAGACUGCCGGUGUAAACCGAGAGGAAGGUGGGGAUGACGUCAAAUCAGCACGGCCCUUAUGUCCAGGGCUACACACGUGUUACAAUGGCCGGUACAAAAGGCAGCUACCUGGUGACAGGACGCUAAUCCUAAAAACCGGUCUCAGUUCGGAUCGAAGUCUGCAAUUCGACUUCGUGAAGUUGGAUUCGCUAGUAAUCGCGCAUCAGCCAUGGCGCGGUGAAUACGUUCCCGGGCCUUGUACACACCGCCCGUCAAGCCAUGGAAGUUGGGGUGCCUGAAGUCCGUAACCGUAAGGAGCGGCCUAGGGUAAAACCGAUGACUGGGGCUAAGUCGAAACAAGGUA
Molecule: ribosomal RNA, 1420 nt
Filed under: metagenome
Description: bacterial SSU rRNA
Rfam family: Bacterial small subunit ribosomal RNA
Source: RNAcentral